RNAcentral lists this ribosomal RNA (468 nucleotides) under uncultured bacterium. RNAcentral's name for it is "partial 16S ribosomal RNA". It matches the Rfam family "Bacterial small subunit ribosomal RNA", at positions 28 to 507 of the family's 1533-position model. The record is from RNAcentral.
GACGAACGCUGGCGGCGUGCUUAACACGUGCAAGUCGAACGGUGAAGCUCCAGCUUGCUGGAGUGGAUCAGUGGCGAACGGGUGAGUAACACGUGAGCAACCUGCCCCUGACUCUGGAAUAAGCGCUGGAAACGGCGUCUAAUACUGGAUACGAGAAGGGCCCGCAUGGGCACUUUCUGGAAAGUUUUUCGGUUGGGGAUGGGCUCGCGGCCUAUCAGCUUGUUGGUGAGGUAAUGGCUCACCAAGGCGACGACGGGUAGCCGGCCUGAGAGGGCGACCGGCCACACUGGGACUGAGACACGGCCCAGACUCCUACGGGAGGCAGCAGUGGGGAAUAUUGCACAAUGGGCGAAAGCCUGAUGCAGCGACGCCGCGUGAGGGAUGACGGCCUUCGGGUUGUAAACCUCUUUCGGCAGGGAAGAAGCGAAAGUGACGGUACCUGCAGAAGAAGCACCGGCUAACUACGUG